GAUGAACGCUGGCGGCGUGACUAAUACAUGCAAGUCGAGCGAACGGACGAGAAGCUUGCUUCUCUGAUGUUAGCGGCGGACGGGUGAGUAACACGUGGAUAACCUACCUAUAAGACUGGGAUAACUUCGGGAAGCCGGAGCUAAUACCGGAUAAUAUUUUGAACCGCAUGGUUCAAAAGUGAAAGACGGUCUUGCUGUCACUUAUAGAUGGAUCCGCGCUGCAUUAGCUAGUUGGUAAGGUAACGGCUUACCAAGGCAACGAUGCAUAGCCGACCUGAGAGGGUGAUCGGCCACACUGGAACUGAGACACGGUCCAGACUCCUACGGGAGGCAGCAGUAGGGAAUCUUCCGCAAUGGGCGAAAGCCUGACGGAGCAACGCCGCGUGAGUGAUGAAGGUCUUCGGAUCGUAAAACUCUGUUAUUAGGGAAGAACAUAUGUGUAAGUAACUGUGCACAUCUUGACGGUACCUAAUCAGAAAGCCACGGCUAACUACGUG
This 497-nucleotide ribosomal RNA is filed under the name uncultured bacterium. Its description in RNAcentral is "partial 16S ribosomal RNA". It matches the Rfam family "Bacterial small subunit ribosomal RNA", at positions 28 to 507 of the family's 1533-position model. The record is from RNAcentral.